RNAcentral lists this ribosomal RNA (3310 nucleotides) under Triticum urartu. RNAcentral's name for it is "eukaryotic LSU rRNA". The stretch from base 376 to 3310 matches the Rfam family "Eukaryotic large subunit ribosomal RNA". The record is from RNAcentral. Lineage: Eukaryota; Viridiplantae; Streptophyta; Magnoliopsida; Poales; Poaceae.
ACUCUCGGCAACGGAUAUCUUGGCUCUCGCAUCAAUGAAGAAUGUAGCGAAAUGCGAUACCUAGUGUGAAUUGCAAAAUCCCGCGAACCAUCGAGUCUUUGAACGCAAGUUGCACCCGAGGCCACUCGGCCGAGGGCACGCCUGCCUGGGCGUCACGCCAAAACACGCUCCCAACCCCCUCAUCGGGAAUCAGGAUGCGGCAUCUAGUCCCUCGUCUCGCAAGGGGCGGUGGACCGAAGAUCGGGCUGCCGGCGUAUUGCGCCGGACACAACGCAUGGUGGGCGUCCUUGCUUUAUCAACGCAGUGCAUCCGACGCGCAGCCAGCAUGAUGGCCUCAAAAUGACCCAGCAAACGAAGCGCACGUCGCUUCAACCGCGACCCCAGGUCAGGCGGGACUACCCGCUGAGUUUAAGCAUAUAAAUAAGCGGAGGAGAAGAAACUUACAAGGAUUCCCCUAGUAACGGCGAGCGAACCGGGAGCAGCCCAGCUUGAGAAUCGUGCGGCUGUGCCGUUCGAAUUGUAGUCUGGAGAGGCGUCCUCAGCGACGGACCGGGCCCAAGUCCCCUGGAAAGGGGCGCCUGGGAGGGUGAGAGCCCCGUCCGACCCGGACCCUGUCGCCCCACGAGGCGCCGUCAACGAGUCGGGUUGUUUGGGAAUGCAGCCCAAAUCGGGCGGUAGACUCCGUCCAAGGCUAAAUACAGGCGAGAGACCGAUAGCGAACAAGUACCGCGUGGGAAAGAUGAAAAGGACUUUGAAAAGAGAGUCAAAGAGUGCUUGAAAUUGUCGGGAGGGAAGCGGAUGGGGGCCGGCGAUGCGCCCCGGCCGUAUGCGGAACGGCUCUUGCUGGUCCGCCACUCGGCUCGGGGUGUGGAAUGUUGUCGGCCGUGCCGGCGGCCAAAGCCCGGGGGCCCUAGGUGCCCCCGGUGGUCGUCGUCGGCAUAGCUGGUACCCGCGCGCCGAAAGGCGUGUCCCUCGGGGCACUGCGCUGCAACAGCCUGCGGGCUCCCCAUUCGACCCAUCUUGAAACACAGACCAAGGAGUCUGACAUGCGUGCGAGUCGACGGGUUCUGAAACCUGGGAUGCGCAAGGAAGCUGACGAGCGGGAGGCCCUCACGGGCCGCACCGCUGGCCGACCCUGAUCUUCUGUGAAGGGUUCGAGUUGGAGCACGCCUGUCGGGACCUGAAAGAUGGUGAACUAUGCCUGAGCGGGGCGAAGCCAAAGGAAACUCUGGUGGAGGCUCGAAGCGAUACUGACGUGCAAAUCGUUCUUCUGACUUGGGUAUAGGGGCGAAAGACUAAUCGAACCAUCUAGUAGCUGGUUCCCUCCGAAGUUUCCCUCAGGAUAGUUGGAGCCCAUUACGAGUUCUAUCAGGUAAAGCUAAUGAUUAGAGGAAUCGGGGACGCAACGUCCUCGACCUAUUCUCAAACUUUAAAUAGGUAGGAUGGCGCGGCUGCUUCGGUGAGCCGUGCCACGGAAUCGGGUGCUCCAAGUGGGCCAUUUUUGGUAAGCAGAACUGGCGAUGCGGGAUGAACCCGAAGCCAGGUUACAGUGCCCAACUGCGCGCUAACCUAGAACCCACAAAGGGUGUUGGUCGAUUAAGACAGCAGGACGGUGGUCAUGGAAGUCGAAAUCCGCUAAGGAGUGUGUAACAACUCGCCUACCGAAUCAACUAGCCCAGAAAAUGGAUGGCGCUGAAGCGUGCGACCCACACCCGGCCAUCUGGGCGAGCGCCAUGCCCCGAUGAGUAGGAGGGCGCGGCGGCCGCUGCAAAACCCGGGGCGCGAGCCCGGGCGGAGUGGCCGUCGGUGCAGAUCUUGGUGGUAGUAGCAAAUAUUCAAAUGAGAACUUUGAAGGACGAAGAGGAGAAAGGUUCCAUGUGAACGGCACUUGCACAUGGGUAAGCCGAUCCUAAGGGACGGGGUAACCCCGGUAGAUAGCGCGAUCACACGCAUCCCCCGAAAGGGAAUCGGGUUAAGAUUUCCCGAGCCGGGAUGUGGCGGUUGAAGGUGACGUUAGGAAGUCCGGAGACGCCGGCGGGGGCCUCGGGAAGAGUUAUCUUUUCUGCUUAACGACCUGCCAACCCUGGAAACGGUUCAGCCGGAGGUAGGGUCCAGUGGCCGGAAGAGCACCGCACAUCGCGCGGUGUCCGGUGCGCCCCCGGCGGCCCAUGAAAAUCCGGAGGACCGAGUACCGUUCAUGCCCGGUCGUACUCAUAACCGCAUCAGGUCUCCAAGGUGAACAACCUCUGGCCAAUGGAACAAUGUAGGCAAGGGAAGUCGGCAAAACGGAUCCGUAACUUCGGGAAAAGGAUUGGCUCUGAGGACUGGGCUCGGGGGUCCCGGCCCCGAACCCGUCGGCUGUCGGCGGAUUGCUCGAGCUGCUCACGCGGCGAGAGCGGGUCGCCGCGUGCCGGCCGGGGGACGGACCGGGAAUCGCCCCUUCGGGGGCUUUCCCCGAGCAUGAAACAGUCGACUCAGAACUGGUCCGGACAAGGGGAAUCCGACUGUUUAAUUAAAACAAAGCAUUGCGAUUGAAAGUGCGUUAUAUCGACUAGAGGGGGGGUGGGUGAAUAGGCGAUUUUUAUGGAAGUCUUCAAAAUGUGGAAGUUAUGAAGACAAACGAUAGAAAUAAAUCUAUUACCAUGCAGCGGAAGGUAGACUACACCUAGACAAGCCAUAGUCAAGUAUUCAAUGAAGUGAAAGCACAAUGACUUAAUAACAGCAAUGUAGUAAGGAUCAGGUAGGAAGAUAUUAUGAAGCCAUACAGAGCAUGCAGUCACUCAGUGAAGACAAAAGAUAGUGCAAACAUACAAUGACUUCACAAGGAGCAACAGUAAGUAAAGGGAAGGGAAGAUGAAACCAGUGACUCGUUGAAGACAAUGAUUUGUUGGACCAGUUCCAGUUGCUGUGACAACUGUACAUCUGGUUGGGGCGGCUAGGUAUUUAAACCUUAGGACACACAGUCCCGGACACCCAGUCCUGAACAUGCAGCUCAGGACACCCAGUCCUCACCGUAUUCCCCUUGAGCUAAGGUCACACAUACCUCCCCCAAUCACUCUGGUAAGUCUUCAAGGUAGACUCCCAAACCUUCACAGACUUCGUUCACCGGCAAUCCACAAUGUCUCUUGGAUGCUCAGAACGCGACGCCUAACUGGCUGGAGGAUGCACAGUCCUCAAGUGUAAUAAGUCUUCAGAUCACACAGAUAAGAAGACUUAGUGCUGCCCAAUUCUCUCUGGCUCUGGGUGGUUAGGGCUUUAUCCUUGCAAGGAAUUAUCUCUCAAAGGCUUCAAGGUGGGUUGCUCUCAAACG